Molecule: long non-coding RNA, 1890 nt
Organism: Globicephala melas (long-finned pilot whale)
Lineage: Eukaryota; Metazoa; Chordata; Mammalia; Artiodactyla; Delphinidae
Source: RefSeq, a predicted model, not a curated record
CCUCAUGAUGUACAGAGGGCGCAGUGCACUCUACAGAAUUGGACUUGAAAAGUAAAGAAGGCGGACAGAGUUUCCUCUCUUACUGGAAUCUUCUGGAAACCAUAGCCAUGGGGUAUUCCCUAAUGCCUCACAUCCUUUAAGCAAUGUUUAAUGGCCACCUGUUGCAUGAGGGCUCAUCAGGGGAAAGGACCAUUUCACGACAACCCAGGACCCUGGCCCUAAACUUCGGUGUCCAGGCUAGUGGGGCUGGACCAUGUGGAGAAUUUGUUUUGCCAGGACAGGAGGUCUUGAGGGCCUGGAAUCCAAGAAUUUCCAGGAGGUCCUUCACCAUGUUCCUGCCAAGUCCGUGGCCACCACACCACAAAAUGGCAGAGCCCAGGUUCAUGUUCUCGAUAAGGAUCCCGUGCCUUUUUCAUUGUGCUGACUCUCUUUGCCAUGGUGGGGCUUUUUAUGGCCUGGCAGGGUAAGGGCCUCAGCGUUCUAGCCGCAGGUGAUGGAGAGACUGCCUGCCUUUGGUUCCUCGAAUCACUGACCUGGGAGCCCCAUCACGUGGGGCCCCAAGCAGAGGCCCCGGGUAGCCACCUCUGGGAUGUCCUAGCUUAGGUGCUGCUGAGAGUUUGUCAAUACUUGUAUCUCCCCUCUGCCUUAAUGAUCAAUGUGUCCAAAGUCACAAACUCAAACCACAGCACAUGGAAAUAAUGACUUAUCCUGUGACUGCCAUAAAUGCACUCCAGUGUCUCAGAUGUAUUUCAUCGAUCAUUCUUUAAGGUACAAAAGACGUGUGUCAACAUAGAAACAGUCUCUAUUCUGGGGAGGAAGCUCCAUGAAUGUGUGUACUAUUGACUCUCAGUCAAAGAUGCCAUUUUCCUCUUUGCGGGCCAUCGACGUUUUGCACCAAGCCCUCUCUUCUUAGAUAAUUGCACUUUACACUUUGGCAUCACGUUCUGAAGGCUUGAGGCUGAAGUUUCUACUGCCCUUCCACGAGGAGGACAGCCUGUGGUCCCCACAAUGAGAUCUGGUUCUUUCUGCUCAUUCGUGGAGUGACGUGGAGAGCAGGGAGCUGAUUUGCAGAAGGACCACUUGGUAGACAGGCUAUUCAGGAUUCUGACGACAUGUUGGCGGAUUCAUGGGUAGUCGAGCGCCCACCACAUCAUUUCUGAGCUCUGUCUACUGAGAGGAAGUCAUAUAAACCAGGUAUGAUUUGUGCACUUUUCUUCGGUACGUCAUACAUCAACCAAAAGUUUAUUGACUUUUUGAUGCCACUUGAUCCAAGACACCCACAUCCUGGACUGAAGGAUUGGAUUUGAAUGAAACUCAUUUUCAUCACAAGACAAAGGGAUUUUCCAAGCCAUAAAGAGAUGACAUCUGACUGCUCUGAGUUCUGUGAAGAGUGAUGUGGAGACACACGGCAUGACGUGACUGUUACUACAGCCCAACUUGUCCACCAGAGAUGAUGAGCUGUGUGGUCCUCAGUCCUCCCCUUGAAAGAGGAAGAUGGGGGAUGCUUCCGAAGCCCUUCGUCCUCCGUGCCACUGAGCUGCGGAAGGCUUUGCAGAGGGUGGGGUGUACAAGGAAGCAGAACCCAGGGACCCUGCCACACAGGAACCUGCAAGGAGCACACGAGGAUGAGAUGAACACACACUAAAAGGCUCAAGGACGAUGCAGAAAGCCUUGGUGUUACCCACAAACACUGCAGUUCUUUCCCCAUGCACCUCUAGUUCUACCAAGCCUUGAGAAGUUCCUGGCUGCCUGGCUUGACAUUAGUCGAAAGUUGUGAGAAUGCUACAAUCAGCGUACCUUCUGUCCAGAUUUAUCUACUGUGAUAUUUUGCCCCAUUUGUUUUAUUUUUGCUCUUCAAUAUCUUAGUAUAUUAGGAGUGUUAGUCCUUUA